AAGAGGGUUUUUAAUUAAUAGGAACGGCAAAAAUCCUCAUGAUCCACAAGGGCCUUUCUUUGUUAAAUUUGGCAUUGGGCAUAAAGGGUUGGAUGUGCGCACAAUUUUAUAGCCUCGUCGAUAGGAAGAGCUAGGUACUGAGUGUAAGACUCUUUCGGCUCUGUCUUGCCAAAUAUACCUGUUUGAAUGCAGGUUGAUAUAAAAUUACUACUCUUUCGUUAGCAAGAAUUUUGGAAAAAAAAAUGCAUUUAGCAUAUCCAAAUAUAUUUGUUUUGGUUUCUAU
This 283-nucleotide long non-coding RNA is filed under the name Citrus x clementina. Its description in RNAcentral is "Citrus clementina (C. clementina) long non-coding RNA (CCLE_LNC004067)". Lineage: Eukaryota; Viridiplantae; Streptophyta; Magnoliopsida; Sapindales; Rutaceae. The record is from RNAcentral.